UUCGGAUCGCAGGCUGCAACCCGCCUGCGUGAAGUUGGAAUCGCUAGUAAUCGAGGAUCAGCAUGCCGCGGUGAAUACGUUCCCGGGCCUUGUACACACCGCCCGUCACACCAUGAGAGUCGGGAACACCCGAAGUCCGUAGCCUAACCGCAAGGGGGGCGCGGCCGAAGGUGGGUUCGAUAAUUGGGGUGAAGUCGUAACAAGGUAAC
RNAcentral lists this ribosomal RNA (209 nucleotides) under uncultured bacterium. RNAcentral's name for it is "partial 16S ribosomal RNA". It matches the Rfam family "Bacterial small subunit ribosomal RNA", at positions 1292 to 1500 of the family's 1533-position model. The record is from RNAcentral.